This 309-nucleotide ribosomal RNA is filed under the name uncultured bacterium. RNAcentral's name for it is "partial 16S ribosomal RNA". It matches the Rfam family "Bacterial small subunit ribosomal RNA", at positions 355 to 657 of the family's 1533-position model. The record is from RNAcentral.
UGGGGAAUAUUGCACAAUGGGCGCAAGCCUGAUGCAGCCAUGCCGCGUGUGUGAAGAAGGCCUUCGGGUUGUAAAGCACUUUCAGCGAGGAGGAAGGGUUCAGUGUUAAUAGCACUGUUCAUUGACGUUACUCGCAGAAGAAGCACCGGCUAACUCCGUGCCAGCAGCCGCGGUAAUACGGAGGGUGCAAGCGUUAAUCGGAAUUACUGGGCGUAAAGCGCACGCAGGCGGUUUGUUAAGUCAGAUGUGAAAUCCCCGCGCUUAACGUGGAACUGCAUUUGAAACUGGCAAGCUAGAGUCUUGUAGAGG